Molecule: microRNA, 21 nt
Filed under: Oryza sativa (Asian cultivated rice)
Lineage: Eukaryota; Viridiplantae; Streptophyta; Magnoliopsida; Poales; Poaceae
Description: osa-miR5542
Source: miRBase by way of RNAcentral
UUUGAGAAGGUAUCAUGAGAU